UGAUGCAGUAGAAAUUUUGAA
Caenorhabditis elegans is the source of this 21-nucleotide non-coding RNA. NCBI's taxonomy places the organism in Eukaryota, Metazoa, Nematoda, Chromadorea, Rhabditida, Rhabditidae. The record is from Ensembl.